ACCGGGACAACCACGUCCCACCACAUCGUACGCAUACCAAAUCCACUCUGAACAAAUGCCGGAGCAGUGACUCGAUUGAUAAUUGCGCUGCUCGUGCCGCUCCGACUUCCAGCACGACGGACACCGCAGAGCACCGGAGCGGCUCACCGCGCGGUGCUGCCGGGGGGAAGUGACAGCGGCGCGGUCCGAGUGAGAGGCGGCGGCGGCGGUCCAGGUGAAGAGAGCCGGCGACGGAGACUGUUCUGGGAAAAUCGCUCCGAAAUAAAACGUGGCUUCUCUCUUUUCUUUCGUUCCUCGCAGCCUCGUCUGUUUUUUGUUUAGUUUAUCGAAACUAGUCGCUUUUGUUUUUGUUGCUUUUCUGUCCUCCAGCAAAGAAGCACCGACCCGACCCGACCAGACCAGCCUCCUGCGCUCCGUCCCGCUAUUCUACACUAGGCAGUGGUUCUGGUGGCAUGGACAUGGCGCUCUUCCCCAGCAUCUCCACCCCGAGGGGAAUAGCCUACUGCUUUUACAACCCACGCUUUAUUUUCUUUUUUGUUAAUAUUUCGCAAUGCCCUACCGGCGGUGUUAAUGGCAGCCUACUAUUUCUCCAGUCUAACCCUUCGCUAGCCUCUGUCUCCCUGCUUUUUCUUUGUCCUGACUCUGGCUACCAGUCUCCCUCCUCCUCCUCUGCCUGCCUCUGCUGGCGGGGCUGCGGCGCAGACACACAUAAUAAAGCCAAGGCAGGCAGUGCUUGGCUGGAAAUGUAGCCGCGUCCCAGCAGGGGGAUGUGAGAGAAGGGUCCCGGCGGGGGAGCGCUCUGAUCCCGCAGGGAGCAGCUCGGCACAGCCCGGGUUGGCUGAGGCAGAGAGGCACGAGAGAGGCAGGCUGGGCUGGCGGAGAGAGAGCGAGCGAGAGAGAGAGGGGGAGCAGGGUGGAGAGUUAGGCAACAGCGCCCAGCCGUGGCCGAGUGACGCAACUACAACGGGGACCCUGAUAAUAGGAAGGGAGGCAGAGGGAAAAUAUGGACUUGGAUCAAAGGGGGAUUUGGAAGAGGCCCCCGAAGUUAGGACCGCGAAACAAAACGAGGGUUGUUACAACAGCACAAGUGAUCGAGUGGUUACGUCACCAGGUGCUGAGACAGGCCUGUAUCUACUUUUAAACUCUUAACAUUGCUCGGCUGUGGAAGGAUGUGCCAUACGCUACGUCAGCAACCGGGGGUCGCGACAUGUCAAUGCUGGAGCCCCAGUAAGGCCAUUGUUCGGUUGGGUUUCAUGGCCCCUCUUGUGUGGCUUCAUAGUGAGCCACUGCUACACGCAAUGUCUUUCAUACUCACUCAAAACCAGAGUUCCCAAAACAAUACAAAUGCCAGUGGAUUAAUGUAACACUGAGUGGAUACAAUACAACAACUUGAUUCAUGAGUGUGAUGCAAUGUUUUUGGUAAGUAGAAAUUAAGGCAGAGACCUAAAAAUGAUUGUUUCCCCUGAAAGCAGCCAUCAUUCCUCUUGUCGACAAAAUAGAAUAGUACGAUUCGGUCAAAGUUAAUCUGUUCAAUAUGCUAAGCCUGUCAAUGUUACGGACAUCCUUUACUUUAUAGUGUUGGUAUCCAUCUCUCUGCACAGCACCGGAAAAUAAUGUUGGAUGUGCACUUCUUCCCCUUUUCUAAGUGUUAUGUUAGAGGCAUUGCGAUCCCAAUGCAGGCAUCCGCCCUGUAGUGGCCAAUUUCCCACAUCAAAAAAACAUUCAAAGGAUUAAAUGUCAGCCAUUAUUCAUCUUGAAAAUGUUCCCUGUUCCUUGAGCGUUUAUCACUUCACUCAUUUGUGGCGGAUUAAUUUCUGUGGGACGGUUUCUGACAGGAUUAGUUUAAGCCUUUUCAUUUAGGCUGAGCAGAACCUUCCCGUGCAAAAUGAACAUUCUCCACACUUUCGAUCAAGACCACAUGAAAAUGCCUGCUCCUAUCCGGCUGUAGGCAUACACUAACAUAGAGCUGUGCGUUACAGAGAUGCACCGUACAGUGUUUAAAAUCUGCCCAGCCAUUUCUUUAAAAUAAAAUAAAAAUACCUGUGUC
This is a long non-coding RNA of Pseudoliparis swirei, 2047 nucleotides long. RefSeq lists it as uncharacterized. The record is from RefSeq and is a predicted model, not a curated record. The transcript has 2 exons. NCBI's taxonomy places the organism in Eukaryota, Metazoa, Chordata, Actinopteri, Perciformes, Liparidae.